UACGGAGGGUGCAAGCGUUGUCCGGAUUUAUUGGGUUUAAAGGGUGCGUAGGCGGGUUAUUAAGUCAGUGGUGAAAGCCGACAGCUCAACUGUCGAACCGCCAUUGAUACUGGUAAUCUUGAGUAUAGUUGAGGCAGGCGGAAUUUACGAUGUAGCGGUGAAAUGCAUAGAUAUCGUAAAGAACACCGAUAGCGAAGGCAGCUUGCUAAACUAUAACUGACGCUGAGGCACGAAAGCAUGGGGAGCGAACAGG
This 253-nucleotide non-coding RNA is filed under the name Nafulsella sp. RNAcentral's name for it is "partial 16S ribosomal RNA". It matches the Rfam family "Bacterial small subunit ribosomal RNA", at positions 524 to 776 of the family's 1533-position model. Lineage: Bacteria; Pseudomonadati; Bacteroidota; Cytophagia; Cytophagales; Cesiribacteraceae. The record is from RNAcentral. RNAcentral also lists the same sequence under 2 other names.